Molecule: long non-coding RNA, 167 nt
Organism: Diprion similis
Lineage: Eukaryota; Metazoa; Arthropoda; Insecta; Hymenoptera; Diprionidae
Exons: 3
Source: RefSeq, a predicted model, not a curated record
GACCACCCUGGCCUCCAAAUCCUCCUUGUUGACCACCCUGGCCUCCAAAUCCUCCUUGUUGACCACCCUGGCCUCCAAAUCCUCCUUGAGGACCGCCCUGCUGGCCUCCAAAUCCUCCUUGGCCAACACCAAGGCCUAGAGAUCGGAAUAGAAAACGUUGAACUCCA